GUAGGUGAACCUGCGGAAGGAUCAUUACAAAAAAUAGAGUUGCUUUUUUUAGCUUCUCUGCUCGAAGAGGAAAUUUUGGAGGUCGCAAGACCACCGAAAAAUCCGACUUGAGAAAUCUUUUGUGCACCGUAAAUUCGCGUUUUAUAUUCGUCUGAUGUACUUUUUACAGUUUUCGUGAAAUUCCAUUUUUUUUGGAAAUUUGCAAGAAAGAAAACAAUAAAAAAUAACUUUUAACAACGGAUCUCUUGGCUCUC
RNAcentral lists this unclassified non-coding RNA (254 nucleotides) under rhizosphere metagenome. RNAcentral's name for it is "partial ribosomal RNA internal transcribed spacer region". The record is from RNAcentral.